ACAGUACCAACUACAUUUAGAAAAAUCAACAGUAGCAUUAGGAUGCAGCAAGGAUACUGGUGUUGCCUUCAAUGCUAACCAUAGACCUAAACCUAUGCACCAUUUCAAAUGGCUUAAUCACUGUACGACAUCUGGAAUCAUAAAAUCCCGAGGAAAAAUUGCACAUUUUGCACAAUCUCCUGCUGCACAGGACAGGAAUUUUCAUGCAAGCUUCUAUAAUUAAUGUGGUCCUUCCAUCCAGAUUGUGGGCCCAAACGAUCGCCACCAUCAUGUAGUUUGAGCAA
Molecule: long non-coding RNA, 284 nt
Organism: Telopea speciosissima
Lineage: Eukaryota; Viridiplantae; Streptophyta; Magnoliopsida; Proteales; Proteaceae
Exons: 3
Source: RefSeq, a predicted model, not a curated record